Sapajus apella (tufted capuchin) is the source of this 5539-nucleotide long non-coding RNA. RefSeq lists it as uncharacterized. The record is from RefSeq and is a predicted model, not a curated record. Lineage: Eukaryota; Metazoa; Chordata; Mammalia; Primates; Cebidae. The transcript has 2 exons.
UAAGUAUAUACUUAAACUUAAGUAUUUAAGUUGUGAAAUCAGAACUGUUUCAUCUGAAAUGAUGUGUUUUGAAGGAGUUCCGUUAGAAUUGAAAAGGUAGGACGGUGAGUCGCGGCAUCUGCAGUGUCUUGGUGUCAGGAAGACACAGCCUGGUACCAGUCAGUCCUGGUGAUGUGGGCAGCAGGAGUGGGAGUGGGGAACAGCUCUGUGGUGGAUGGGAAGGCACACUGCUUCGGAGGAUGCUGCACUUAGAAAUCAGUUUCUUUAGGCAAAGUCUGCACAUACCUGGCUUACCUCCAGGAAGUGGGGCGCCAACAUAAAGGUGAAGGCUCCAGAUCAGCGUCAGCAGACUCUUCAUGUAAAGGGCUGGCUGGUAGAUAUUUUAGGGUUUUUGCAGGCUGUGGGGUCUUGCUCCCAACUACUCAGCUCAGCCACUGUAAUGCAGAGACAGCUGUAGACAGUAACGAAAGUGAGCGUAACUGUGUCCAGUAAAAAUUUUAAUGGGGGAUUUUGGCCGGUGGGCCGUAGUGUGCCGACUCCUGCUCUGAAUCACACAUCUGAGUGGUUUUGUCUGGGGCCUGGUACCACUGGGUGCUGUUUCCUGUCUAGUUACCUGGUUUUUUAAAGUACGCUUUCCCUGCUGUAAGAUGGGAGCAAUACCUAUAAAACCUGUGCCUGGCAUGUGAUGACAUGAAAUAAUAUGUAAAAUGCCACUCUGAAAGAAGUUACUAAUGUGUUUUUCUGUGAGAUGCGAUUCUGAAAAGCGGCAUUUAAAUCAUAGUUUGUUCAUGGGCUCCUGUGUUUAAUAGAGUAGUCAACUUAGGGCUUACAAGAGGGCUAAACCACUCCAACAGAUGCCUGAGAGGAUGCAGCCGAGAGAUGUUAAUUUCUCUUUCCAAUAACAGGAUGGCUGUUCCAGGAUGUUGGGAGACCCUGUUCCUUGUAGUCAUUGAGGGGUCUAGGGUCUUCUAUUUUGCUUUACUGCCAGCUCCUGUGGCAUUGUCCUUGAUUGAUCAGUAGCAUGGAUACUGUGCUCAGCAGACAGACAGCUACAGGUGGGGAAAGAGGGCCUGGGCACACAGAGCUCAAGCCAGGUCUUAAGCAAGAGCUGAAAGGGGAGCAGCUCACUCACUCACACUCUACUGGAGAGGUUUUGGGUCACACUUAACUGGUCAGAAGGCCCAGUAGCCAGAGCCAGACCAUGCAGACAAAAAGUCAGGGUUUGUGAUUUAACUUAGAAAUAGAGGCAGGAUGGAAAAAUGGAUUUGUGUGGAGACUUGGAGAUCAUGUACCAUGCAGUAGAUCUGUUCUGGGAGGAGAAGGAAGCUAUGGUUGUGAGUGAUGAAGGUCACUGCACUGGGUGUUCAGAAGCAGCUGUCACAGCCUCUUCCAUUCAGCACUUAUUAUGUAGCUUUAUUUAAUGUUGCAAAAUACCACAUAGAGAAGAAGGAAUAUAAGGGCAAAACUAAUGGCUGGAUAGCUGUUGUGGCUUGUAAUUCUGACCUAAAAUUAGUUUAGAAAUUACAAUUGAAAAUGCAAUUGUGAAGUAUUUUGAAAUAUGUUAAAAUGUUGCCUAGCCUGCUGAAAUGUUUCUCAGCUGAGGUACCCAUGUAAAAUGUGUGCAUACAUAUCAACAGGCUAAGAAACAGAGGAGUCAAACUAUUUGAUUAGUUGAGACAGGUUUACCUCCAAUUAACUUUUUAAUUCUUUUCUUUCGGUUUGUAGCACUUGGUGAUGCAUGUGUUAAUGUUCAUAAUAAAACAAAAGUUACCCAUUCUUAGAUUACUUUAUUACUACGAGUAAUGGCUUUCCUGCUGAAGGUGCUUCGUAGCUCCAUGAAGAGGGCACAGAGAAAGUUACUUGAUGCCUUUGAGUCACUUUCACUUUAAAAGAUGCUAGUAGCCUUUGGAUCCCACUUUGCCCUGGUGCUUGGCCAAGGCCAGGGCAUCUGACUGCCUCUAAUCACACUGAGGAAGGAGGUGGUAGAGGGGGAGGUUUGAUCUAUGCUGAUGGCCCUACCCUUGCUGGUGCCCUCUGUUGCUGGGACUUGGCGCCCCACCUGCUUACCAAGCAGAAGUGAUCUCAGAGUGGUCUCCAUAGCCAAGAGAGUGGGUUUUGUCAGGCAAGGAAGGAUCCUGAAGAUGCACACCCUCCCGGUGUGGAACAUGGUGCUAUCCCCAGCUCAUCUCCCUUGGUACCAGGAGUGUUGGUGUUCUGUACACACUAACUAGAGGACUUUCCCACUCUUCUGUUUGCCUGUUUGCUCUUAGGCAUUAUCUAACCCAAAUUUGGUUCCGUGGGAAUAAACAUACUUGGUCAGAAAGUGUGAAUAGUUAUUUCUAGCAUUUAAAACUUUCUUGCUGAUGAUGCUAUUAAAAUAUGCACAUGUGCAUGCACGCAGUAUGUCUGCAGCUGGAGAGGAAGGAGCAUGCACUGCUCCCGGGCAGCUGGUCAGGCUGGUGGCCCAGCCAUCAUGCCUGCUCCUUGUCCAGGGGAGGAAGUUGAUGUUCUGAAGGAGCACAGCAUAUUCAGUCUGCUCCAGGGUUGGUUCCCUCUGGAAAGCUUCCCUGGCCCCCUCACUGCUGUGUGGUCUCCCUCAGGUUUUCCCUGCUGGAGAGGCCUUCCCUGACCCCAGGAUGUGACACUGUAGCCCUGCCCUCGACGCUCUCUCCCCAGCUUUGUGGUUCUCCAAAGCUCUCAUCACUGUCCGACACAUUGCUUAUUUAUUGCUUGCUUGCCAGGCAGGCAUUUCUAGUUGUCUUAGCUGAAGAGAUAACUGAGAGUCAGCCUGAACUCUACUGUGUGGAGUGGCUGUGGGUCGUGAGCAAGUUGCUGAACACACAGACUAGAGUAUCCCUGAAUGUAAAACGUGGAUAGUAAGAGCUGUUUCGUCAGAUUAUAUCAGUGCAUAUAGACUAGGUCCUUGGGAUAGCUUCUGAGAGAUUUUAUUAUAUUAAAUCACAUAAAUUAUUUCACUUCAAUGGGAGAGGAGUGGUAAUAAGCAUUUUUAAAAAUAUGGUGCCUCUGAUGGGUUAAAGGGCUGGCUGUCAGUUUAAACAUGUUGCCUAGUGUUUGGCUAAAAGGACAGUUGAAUGAUUGUGCAGGGAAAGAGGUUAUUUUGGAAAUACAUGUAGGAUGAUUACUGUCAGCUAUCACAUCUUACCCUUUGGGUAAAUGCUUAAUAAGGUAAUAUAUUAAUGCUGGGCUCUGCUAUGUGCUAGGGCCGUGGAAAGAAUCUGUGAGGCCUUCAGGGAACCUCUGUGGAACCACCAAGGAUGCAUUUCGAACUCUGAAUUCUGAGAAUUCUAGUUGAUCAUCCUUGAAGGAUGCAUUUCUGAAGAUGUUGUAUUUGAAAGUCCCCUUGGCAACAAUAUGGCUCUUAUUGCUAUAUUGGUUGGGAGUGAGGGGAAUUGGGGUGAAGGUUGGCUGUCUUGCCUUGGCUGGUCUGCCCCUAGACCCCUGCGUCGCUGUCUGGGAAUCUGAGGGGUAGGGGUUGGGGUGGGCAUGGGGAUGUCUUUUGUGAGCAGGCAAAGGCCCUGGGUGGAGUGUGGGUGUUCUCGUAGCGUGGUGCAUCUCUUCUGUUGUGAUGUUUAAGUAUUGACUGGAGCCACUUACGUUAUCUGUGAUCAAUCUUUUUGUCCUCACCUCUAAAUGAGAGAGAUGAUAUCUACUCAUUCAUAUAUUCAGCAAGUACUUAGAGGGCAAUUACUGGUCCUUGGCACCUAAAACAAAAUGAGUUUUGCCCUCACGGAGUUUAAAAUUGUGAGAAUUAAGUGAGCAAAGAGAGAAGUAUGGUAUCUCAUAGGAGAUACUUAAAAAUAUUUCUCUCUUAUUUUUAGAGCUUUUUAGUUUAGAAUACUGUCUUAAAGAAAAAAGAUCUUAUUGUGAAUUAAUUACUUGCAAUUUAUAUUCACCUGCCUCUUUCCACAAAUGAUCUGAAGUUGAGCGUAUUUCAUUUAUUACUGUAAAGUUUUUGUUUUUGCUUAGAGUAGUGAGUAGAUGGAUGAAUGAAGGAAAAUGAAUGAUUUUAUUAUAAAUAAGCCAGAGAAAAAGUACUACCAGUUCCUCCCUAGAAUCUACUUAACAGAUAAUUUGAGGACUUUCUUCCCUAAUAGGUUGCUUUAAAAAAAUAAAUUUUUGAAGCAGCUUUAGAUUCACAGCAAAACUGAAUGGAAUGUGUAGAGAUUUCCCAAGUGCCUGCUGCCUCUACACAUGCGCAGUCUCCCCCAGUGUGGAUACCUUGUACCAGAGUGGUACCUUUGUUAACCAUCAGUGAACCUGCAAUGACAUUAUCAUCACCCAAAGUCCACAGUUCACAACAGGAGUCACUCUUGGUGUUGAACAUUCUGUGGGUUUAAACAAGUUUAUAACAAAUACUCUCAUAUAUGUAUCAUACGGAACAGUUCACUACCCUAAAAAUCCCUCCUUCCCCUCAACCCCUGGCAGCCACUCCUUUUUACUGUCUUCACAGUUUUGCCUUUUGUUUUACAGUGUUACAUAGUUGGAAUUCUACAGUAGCCUUUUCAGUUUGGCUUCUUUUACUUAAAAUGUGCAUUUAAAUUUCUUCUGUGUCUUCUCAUGAUUUGAUAGCUCAUUUUUAGAAAAAUGCUGAAUAGUACUCCGUUUUCUGAAUGUGCCAAAGUUUAUUCAUUCACCAACUGAAGGAUAUCUUGGUUGCUUCCGAGUUUGGCAAUUAUGAAAAAAAGUGCUGGAAACACCCAUAUGCAGAUUUUCGUUUGGACAUUAAUUUUUCAGCUCUUUUGGGUCAAUACCAAGGAGCUCACUUGUUGGAUCCUGUGAUAAGAGUAUGUUUAGUGUGGUAGAAAACUGAACAGGUGACUGCACCAUUUGGCAUUCUCACCUGCAGUGAAGGAGAGCCCCUCUUGCUCCAUGUCCCGUCACUCCUCUCAGCCAUUCUCAGAGGUGUAUGGUGGCAUCUCACUGUGGUUUCCAUUUGCAUUUCCCUGAUGACAACAAUGACUUUUCACAUGCUUUUUUGGGCCAUCUGUUUAACUUUGGUGACAUGCUUGUUAAGUCUUUGGCUACUUUUUAAUUGGGCUGUUUUUGGUAUUUUUGAGUUUAGAAGUUCUUUGUAUAUUUUAGGUAAGUGUUAUAAGUCUGUGACUAUUCUCUCAGUCUGUGACUUGUCUUCUCAUUUUCUUGGCAGUGUCUUUUGCAGAGCAGAAGUUUUUAAUGAAGUCAAGUUUAUCAGUUCUUACAUGGAGUGUGUCUUUGGUGUCGUGCCUAGAAAGUCAUCACCAAACCCAAGGUCAUCUAGAUUUUCCCCUCUGUUUUCUUGUAGGAGAUUUGUAGUUUUGCCCUUUGCAUUUAGGCCUGGGAUCCUCUAAAGGGUAAGGUCUGUGUCUCAUUUCAUCUCCCUGCAUUUGGAUGUCCAGUCGUUCCAGCUCCAUGGGUUGAAAAGCCUAUCUCUUCUCUGUGGGAUUGCCUUUGCUGCUGGCCUGUGCUUUGAAAACUAUCCGUAUUGCAUCCCUGGGAAUUUGGCCCUAUGGAAGCUUUACUAGCUUCCCUUCCCCACCCA